This 397-nucleotide ribosomal RNA is filed under the name uncultured bacterium. RNAcentral describes it as "bacterial SSU rRNA". It matches the Rfam family "Bacterial small subunit ribosomal RNA", at positions 30 to 429 of the family's 1533-position model. The record is from RNAcentral.
AUUGAACGCUGGCGGCAUGCCUUACACAUGCAAGUCGAACGGCAGCACGGACUUCGGUCUGGUGGCGAGUGGCGAACGGGUGAGUAAUGUAUCGGAACGUGCCCAGUAGUGGGGGAUAACUACUCGAAAGAGUGGCUAAUACCGCAUGAGAUCUCUGGAUGAAAGCGGGGGACCGUAAGGCCUCGCGCUACUGGAGCGGCCGAUAUCAGAUUAGGUAGUUGGUAGGGUAAGAGCCUACCAAGCCAACGAUCUGUAGCUGGUCUGAGAGGACGACCAGCCACACUGGGACUGAGACACGGCCCAGACUCCUACGGGAGGCAGCAGUGGGGAAUUUUGGACAAUGGACGCAAGUCUGAUCCAGCAAUACCGCGUGCAGGACGAAGGCCUCGGUUGUAAC